RNAcentral lists this long non-coding RNA (1058 nucleotides) under Marmota monax (woodchuck). The record is from RNAcentral. Lineage: Eukaryota; Metazoa; Chordata; Mammalia; Rodentia; Sciuridae.
GUUUUUUUUUUUUUUUUUUUAAAGAGAGAAUUUUUUAGUAUUUAUUUUUCAGUUUUCGGUGGACACAACGUCUUUAUUUUAUUUUUAUGUGGUGCUGAGGAUCGAACCUAGCACCCCGCACAUGCCAGGUGAGCACAUUACCACAUGAGCCACAUCCUCAGCAAGUUUUGAGUUUUGAAGUUCAGUGUGUAUGUAUCAAUUCAUCCUUAUAUGAAUUGUACGUCUGGUGUCAAGCAUGUGGAUAUUCAAGUGCUUGUGUACCUUUUGUUAAAGGUGGUUCUUUCCACGACCAAAUUGCUUUUGCAUAUUUUUCAAAAUCAGUUGGGUAUAGUUUUGUGGGUGCAUUCCAAGUUUUUUUCUCUUCCAUUGGUCAUGUGUCUGUCCCUCUAUGGUUCUGAUCACUAUAGCUAUGUGUUAAGGCUUGAGGUCAGGUAGCCUGAUUGCUCCUGCUUUAUUCUUAUUUUUCAAAACUGUUUAGCUAUGAUAGUACUUUUACCCUUCCAUAUAAUCUUAAAAUAAUCUACAAAACUUUUUUUUUUUUUUAGGGGAUUGGGGGUACCAGGGAUUGAACCCAGGGGCACUUAACCACUGAGCAACAUCCUCAGCCCUUUUUUUUAUUUUGAGAUAGGAUCUUGCUGAGUUGCUGAGGCUGGCUUUGAACUUUCAAUCCUCCUGCCUCAGCCUCCUGAGUCACUGGGAUUACGAGCAUGGGCCACUGUGCCUGGUUUCUACAAAACUCAAUAUUUAUUUAUUUAUGUAUCUUUAGUUUUAGGUGGAUACAUUAGUUUGUUUUUAUGUGGUGCUGAGGAUCAAACCCAGUGCCUCAUGCAUGCCAGGCGAGCACUCUACCACUGAGCCACCACCUGAGCCCCUCUACAAAACUUUUGAUGGCACUUUGUUCAGAAUUGAAUUAAGUCUGUAUAUCAACUUAAGGAGGAUUGACACCUUUACCAGGUGGAUCUUCCAACCCAUGAAUGGGCUGUUGAGUCAGCUAUUUAUUGAGCUCUUCUUUGAUUUUUCACCAGCAUUAUAUAGUUUUAUGCUUACAAAUCCUAGAU